UCCGGUCUCGGUCAGCGACGAGCAUCGGCAACCUACCCGACCCGUCUUGAAACACGGACCAAGGAGUCCCAGUCGACUGCGAGUCGUUGGAGCCUUUCAAUUCGCGAACUCCGACGGCACAGCGAAAGCGAGAACGUGACACGACGUCGCCGUCUCGCUUCGGCGUGACGGCGCUUCGAAGCAUUGUUCCCGGGUCGGGUCCGCGCGUUCGCCGCGACGUUCGCGUCCGGCGUUCCCGCUCCGACUCAGGUGUAGCAGGCGGCCGGGGACCCGAAAGAUGGCGAUCCAUGUCCGGUCGGGACGAAGCCAGAGGAAACUCUGGUGGAAGUCCGAAGCGCCUCUGACGUGCAAAUCGAUCGUCGGAACCGGGUGUAGGGGCGAAACACCAAUCGAGCCGUCUAGUAGCUGGUUCCCUCCGAAGUUUCCCUCAGGAUAGCUGGCGCCAGCGGGAGAACGACACGCAAUUCCGUCCGGUAAGGCGAACGACUGGGGGCCCCGGGGACGUUGACGGCCUCGAUCUACUCUCGAACUCGGAACGGGCGAAACGGGCCGCUCCUCUCUCGAUCGGAGGCGGCCGCCGUUAUGCGACAACGAAUGCAAGGUGCCAAGUGGGCCACUUUUGGUAAGCAGAACUGGUGAUGUGGGAUGAACCGAACGUCCGGCUAAGGUGCCCUACUUUUCGCCCAUUAGAUCCCCGAAAGAGUGUCGGUCGAUAUAGACAGCAGGACGGUGGCCAGGGAAGUCGGAAUCCGCUCAGGAGUGUGUAACAACUUACCUGCCGAAUCGACCGGCCCCGAAAAUGGAUGGCGCUGGAGCGAGCGACCGAUGCCGGACCGG
Octopus sinensis (East Asian common octopus) is the source of this 837-nucleotide long non-coding RNA. RefSeq lists it as uncharacterized. Lineage: Eukaryota; Metazoa; Mollusca; Cephalopoda; Octopoda; Octopodidae. The record is from RefSeq and is a predicted model, not a curated record. The transcript has 2 exons.